RNAcentral lists this ribosomal RNA (1285 nucleotides) under uncultured bacterium. RNAcentral's name for it is "partial 16S ribosomal RNA". It matches the Rfam family "Bacterial small subunit ribosomal RNA", at positions 232 to 1501 of the family's 1533-position model. The record is from RNAcentral.
CGCGUACCAUUAGCUAGUUGGUGGGGUAAAGGCCUACCAAGGCAACGAUGUAUAUCCGGUCUGAGAGGAUGAUCGGACACACUGGAACUGAGACACGGUCCAGACUCCUACGGGAGGCAGCAGUGGGGAAUAUUGCGCAAUGGGGGAAACCCUGACGCAGCAACGCCGCGUGAGUGAGGAAGGACUUCGGUCUGUAAAGCUCUGUUAAUGUGGAAAAAUGGUAGUUGGUCUAAUAGGCCGAUUAUUUGAUGGUACACAUAGAGGAAGCACCGGCUAACUUCGUGCCAGCAGCCGCGGUAAUACGAAGGGUGCAAGCGUUGUUCGGAUUUAUUGGGCGUAAAGCGCGCGUAGGCGGACCUGUAAGUCAGAUGUGAAAUCUCGGGGCUCAACCUCGAAACUGCGUCUGAAACUGCAGGUCUAGAAUCUUGGAGGGGGAAGNNNGGAAUUUCGCAUGUAGGGGUAAAAUCCGUAGAUAUGCGAAGGAACACCAGAGGCGAAGGCGCCUUCCUGGACAAGUAUUGACGCUGAGGCGCGAAAGCGUGGGGAUCAAACAGGAUUAGAUACCCUGGUAGUCCACGCUGUAAACGAUGAUACUAGGUAUUGGAGGAUUUGACCCCUGCAGUGCCGAAGCUAACGCAUUAAGUACCCCGCCUGGGGAGUACGGUCGCAAGACUAAAACUCAAAGGAAUUGACGGGGGCCCGCACAAGCGGUGGAGCAUGUGGUUUAAUUCGAAGCAACGCGCAGAACCUUACCUAGGCUUGAAAUCCCACGAACCUGCUAGAUUGUGAAAGCAGUCCUUCUUCGGACGAUCUACAAGGUGCUGCAUGGUUGUCGUCAGCUCGUGCCGUGAGGUGUCGGGUUAAGUCCCAUAACGAGCGCAACCCUUAUCGUUAGUUGCCAGCGGGUCAUGCCGGGGACUCUAAGGAGACUGCCGGUGUUAAACCGGAGGAAGGUGGGGAUGACGUCAAGUCCUCAUGGCCCUUAUGUCCAGGGCUACACACGUGCUACAAUGGCCGGUACAAAGGGCAGCAAAGCCGCGAGGUGGAGCCAAUCCCAAAAAGCCGGUCUCAGUUCGGAUUGGAGUCUGCAACUCGACUCCAUGAAGUUGGAAUCGCUAGUAAUCGCGCAUCAGCCAUGGCGCGGUGAAUACGUUCCCGGGCCUUGUACACACCGCCCGUCACACCACGAAAGUCGGCAACACCCGAAGCCGGUGACUCAACCCGAAAGGGAGAGAGCCGUCGAAGGUGGGGUUGGUAAUUGGGGUGAAGUCGUAACAAGGUAACC